CCGUAACCUAAUCCAUAUUCUACUGUUUGAACCAAGCACACGUAAAUAACCUUAUUUCUUCUUUCAGAAAAUUUAAGUAUUACUAAUAUAUAUUGAUUUCUCCGGGAAAAAUCUGGAAAGACAUUUGUGUAUCAGUGGAUCAUUGAUCUGGAUUAGGUUUCGGAUUUUCUAUUAGUGAUUUAACUGGAUUUUCCGGUUGUCGAUUUCUGUUGUGAACAGUGUUAAUUAACUUCGUUUGAUAUCAAGUUUCUGAAAUUCGCUGAAAUUACAUCUGAGAGUUGAGAUUUCACGUGAAAUUUCAGCAUUUUAUUUGCUUUUUCGAGUUUAGAAAAUGGUUGGAGGUGGAAAUAGAAUGGAUGAAGGAUCGUUCACAGUGAGCAACAGCAAUGUUUUUGCUGUGCUGGAGAGAAAGAAGAAGAGGUCUGACAAAGGGAAGGUCUCUGCAAAGAGCAGUAAGAGUGGGUUGAAAGCUGGGGCUGGGAAAUCAAAAGAACCGGAGGAGAAGCCUCAGGUAUUUUGGGCUCCAGCUCCUUUGACUGUGAAGUCGUGGGCUGACGUUGAUGACGAGGAUGAUGAUGAUUACUAUGCCACCAAUGCUCCACCCCAGUCUGUUUGGGGUGUUUCGGGGUCGAGUAAACCUGAAGAGAAUCAGAAACCGGACCCUGUGGAGGUAUAAUGACUAAAAACGAUGAAUUGUUAUAUAGUUCCUGCUAUUUUAAAGAUUGGAUAGUGAUCUUGAAAGUUCAUUGUUGUGGUUAAUUUAGUAGGUUGUUUGUUGAUGAUUGUUAUUUGUAUUUUAGAGUGAUAAACGAUAUUCAGGCUAAUUUGGUGUUCAAAUGGUUUGCAAUUGGGGGAUUUUACUAUUGAUUAUUAGUGUGUGAUUUUGUUAAGAUUGGAUCGUAUCAUCUCUAUGCAUCAUAAGAUAAUCAUUUGCACGAUUCCAUUUCAUUAGAUAAAGAUUCUCAUUUUCGCAUGAUCUGCUUUCUCUGGUGAUUAAUGAAGAAAGUUUUAUUUCCCUCUUCUGUAUUAUAUAUGGAAGGGUCUUAACGGUUCCUAUAGCCAAAAACUUUUGAGCGACCUAUCUACAUUAUGAUCGUUUAUGGCAAAUUGACAAUAUUCGGUCUCAAGAGUGCUUGUAAAGGUUAUGUUUUGAUUUCCUCUUUUUCUUAAAGAGAAAAGUCAUAAUGUUUUGUCAAAAGAAAAAAAAAAUGGUGGUUCUGUUUCACACUGUUUUGAUGUUUCUUUUCAUCUACGUUACUAUGAUUCACCUAAGCGACUAUGAUUCACCUAAGCACCUGACAAUAAGUACUUUGUACUUUAUAUGUUGAUCGGAUCAAAAGUCUCACAUAUUUGAUUUCCUAUUGGUAGAUUUGCUUCAGCAUUUGUUUGCCACAUACUAAUAGUGUAGUUUCUUGAGAAAUUUAAUGGUGAUGAUUGGUUUUUAGCGUGAAUUUUGGUGAUUGCUAGGAUACAGAUGUUUAUUUAUGUUGCAUAAGUCGCAGUCUGAACCUGACAUUCUGUUGCGACAUCCUUGAAAAUUCAUAUCCAUUUCUUUGAUAUAUAUAUAUAUAUAUAUAUAUAUAUAUAUCUAUAUGGAUUCAUGUCUAUUCGGGGCAUUCCUGUAAUCGCUGUCAGCUUUUCAUGCAUUAUUCCCUGAUUUGCGUGAAGUUUCAUGGCUAAGAUCAUGUUAUCGAGCUUUCAAAUGUUGAUUCAAAUGAAGUUUUCCCUCAAGUAGAUCACAGAUAUUUUAUAAUUAAUUUUGAGCAAAAGAGACUCUUGGCAUUCAUAAUUAUAUUGGUUUGGAUUUGUUUUUCAUCAGUAUCAUUCCUAGUGGAUUCUAUCCUUGAUUGAGCUUGACUUGGGCUAGUUUGCUGCAAUUUUCGGAAACACCAAAUGGAGAAUUUAGAUAGAAACAUUCUGUUCAAAUGGAAAAAUCAAAGGUUUGGCCAAGACAAUCAGACUUUUUUCCACCUGUGAAAUUAUUUUUUUGGAAGGUUUCUACCUGUGAAAUUGUGUGUUGGGGUGGGGGGGGGGGGNNNNNNNNNNNNNNNNNNNNNNNNNNNNNNUCAAAGCUGUUUAAGAAUUUAAUGUUUUAUGACUUCCACUCUUUCAAACAAAGUACUUGAGAAUUCUGCCCACCAAUCUCAUCUACUCCCCCCCGCCCCUCGUUCUGCUUGUGCAUACUUGCAGGAAUGGUGUAUGCGAUGUGUCUAUCAGUCUACCUCUAUGUAUGUGUGCUUGUGCACCAAUGAACACUUGGAGCUCUGUUUUUUCUUUUUUCUAUUCUCAUCCUCAUCUUCCUGUAUCUCCUCCAAUAUCUACCCUACAAUUACAACUAAAGGGAUUGCAGAAAAGAAACCAUGAUCUGUGGCAAAAAAAAUUCCCGGCUCUGUUUUCUUCAGGCGUAUCCUAUUUACUGUAGGAUUAUCCCUCUGUCAUGAUGAACAAAGACCUCCACGCAUCUCUGAAUUCAUUUUGCUGGUCUUCUCAUGGAGUUUGUAAUGCCUUUAUCCCCUUUUGAAAGCACUUCAUUCUUGUUAACUAAAAUAAAAUUUCAAUAUAUAGGAUCAUUUGCAAAGAUCCCUUGUGUGGAAGAAAUGGUGUUACAAUUUUCUUGUAGCUAUGAAAUCAUGAAAAUGGGGUUAGGAUAGGUUGCUUGCCUCAAAUAUUUUGUCAUGGUUUGACAUCCAAAUUGCAGGAAAGCGAGAGUGAAGAUGAUAUUCUUGAUGAAGGUGACGACGACAUGGAAGAAGAGCACGAUCAUGAACCAGUGGUGGAAGAACAUCCUGAGCCAGUAGUUAAAAAGUCUGUAGAUGCUUCCCCCGCAAAUAAAGAGGUAGAUAAACAAAUUUCCAAGAAAGAGAGAAGAAAAAAGGAGCUUGCUGAGCUGGAGGCCAUUUUGGCUGAAAUUGGAGUUGCCCCAAAAGAGAAAGCCAUAGAUGAGUCAUCUGGUGAUUAUAUACUCUGUUGUCUCUUGGAAAUAUGUUAAUUUAGAAUUUCAUUAAAUAUUUUUGGAUAAAUCUUUUCUAUCUGUGGUUAACACAUUUAUUUGAAGUUAUUGUUUUCUUUAACUUCCCCUCAUCCCUUCAGCAUUUUAUUCUGGACUAUUUUGUUUGGCAAUUUACUAUUUCUGUUAUACAUGAGAGACUAAUCUGUGCAUUCAUUUUCUUUGCUAGUCUUACCAUCAAAUAGUAUAGAUUGUUUAUCUUGAAAUGGAGCAUCUCAUUUUAUGAAUGUGCAGAUAUUUCGCAAGAGAAGAGAGAGGGACAGAUGAAUGGAGAUAUAGAAAACAAGGAUAAUGUCCAUGCAGAAUCCAAGAGUUCAAAGAAGAAGAAAAAGAAGGAUAAAGCUUCAAAAGAGGUGAAGGAAAGCCAGGAUCAGUCCAGCAGCUCAGAUGUUCUUAACGGACAGGAGGAAACCACUGAAACCGAACAAGUGAAACAUGAUGCUUCUGCCGUCAAUGUGAAGGAUCGACUAAAGAAGGCCGCUUCUGCUAAGAAGAAGAAAUCUAAUAAGGAGAUGGAUGCUGGUGCCAAAGCUGCUGCUGUGGAGGCUGCUGCAAGGAGUGCAAAACUUGCCGCUGCUAAGAAGAAAGAGAAGAACCAUUACAAUCAGCAGCCUUUGCGGUAAAGAGCACAGCAUUGGAGUAACAUAUAAAUCGAGAUGGUUAUUUAAUUGUUCAUUUACCCAUGUGCAAUAAACUUUGAUCUCAGCGUCUUUGUCUUGAUAACAUGUUCCCAGACGGUUUUGCUCAGUGAAUAUUUGUUUUUAACUUGGUACUUCAACAGACUUCAUAUAUUAGUUUGUAUGAAAUAGUACUCUUUUGCAAUGAUCAUUUAUCAUUUGAAUUGAGC
RNAcentral lists this long non-coding RNA (3854 nucleotides) under Olea europaea subsp. europaea. The record is from RNAcentral. Lineage: Eukaryota; Viridiplantae; Streptophyta; Magnoliopsida; Lamiales; Oleaceae.